GUGGGGAAUAUUGGACAAUGGACCAAAAGUCUGAUCCAGCAAUUCUGUGUGCACGAUGACGGUCUUAGGAUUGUAAAGUGCUUUCAAUCGGGAAAAAGAAAGUGAUGGUACCGAUAGAAGAAGCGACGGCUAAAUACGUGCCAGCAGCCGCGGUAAUACGUAUGUCGCAAGCGUUAUCCGGAUUUAUUGGGCGUAAAGCGCGUCUAGGCGGUCUGGUAAGUCUGAUGUGGAAAUGCGGGGCUCAACUCCGUAUUGCGUUGGAAACUGCCAGACUAGAGUACUGGAGAGGUGGGCGGAACUACAAGUGUAGAGGUGAAAUUCGUAGAUAUUUGUAGGAAUGCCGAUAGAGAAGUCAGCUCACUGGACAGAUACUGACGCUGAAGCGCGAAAGCAUGGGGAGCAAACAGGA
RNAcentral lists this ribosomal RNA (409 nucleotides) under uncultured bacterium. Its description in RNAcentral is "bacterial SSU rRNA". It matches the Rfam family "Bacterial small subunit ribosomal RNA", at positions 354 to 777 of the family's 1533-position model. The record is from RNAcentral.